Long non-coding RNA from Fukomys damarensis (Damara mole-rat), 970 nucleotides. RefSeq lists it as uncharacterized. The record is from RefSeq and is a predicted model, not a curated record. The transcript has 4 exons. NCBI's taxonomy places the organism in Eukaryota, Metazoa, Chordata, Mammalia, Rodentia, Bathyergidae.
GCCCGAGAUCAGCCUUCGUUCGCUACUUGUGCAGGAGAAAAUGAGGUGGAAUGAGGGCAAAAUGAUGGGGUGCAAAGAGCAAGUGGAAUUUCAGGGUUGGGGAGAGAAGAGGCAGUGCGUGUGUGCGUGGGGGUCAAUCGUUUUGCCAAUAAUACCAGCCAGAGUGCAGGGACAUCCUAGUCGGCUGGCCUCCCAGCGAAGGGGGCAGGGGGCCGAACCCCUCUGAAAGGAGAGGGGUGCUCUGGGCAACCCUAAGGGAGAGUGAGGCCCACAGCCCCCAACAAGAGCAGCUGUGCGGAGGGCAGCAGAAGUGGGAGGCACGUUUGACUGAGAGAAGAGGCAAGGCUGGUGAGACAGACAUGCUGCUGCUCUCCACCCUCAGAGAGGAUGCCCAGCUCCACCUGGCCAGGCUUCAGGAGCUGGAAGAGUAAAUAGAGGAAGGGGCAUCCACCUCCUCCACAUCCAGCCUAUUACUAGAUACUUCAUUUUCAUCUGUUCAUCAUUUUGAAAAGAUGAGCCCUUCAUGGUCUUUGACUGUCACCAUCUGUCUGGGCAAAAACGGUUUUUCCUCGUCUCGGAUUGGAAGGGAAUAUCAUCGGAAUCACCAAAGCAGACUCAGUUCUUCCUCUAUAGACUGUGCCCCAGGCGAGUCACACCACACCUGUCGUGCAGGAUUCUGCUACCCAGUGUAGAAGGUGCGUCCCCAGCUGCUCCCCUUGAGCCCUUUGUGCUCCGUGCACAGCCCACCCAGGAAAGAAGACACAACUGUUUCCUGUCUGCUCCCCAGGAUGCAGCUAUUCUGGAUGCUCAGAAAGCCACAGCAGCAUGUGCCAGCUCUGCCCUUGACCUCCUCCAGUAAAGAUGCUGGGGGUUAACAGUAAGGUUUCCAGUAUGCCUCAGGCCUCCCCAACUGGGGGCAGCCUUUCCCUGAGGCCACACUGCAGCAGGACAGCCUGUCCUUUCCAUUUUG